Molecule: ribosomal RNA, 409 nt
Filed under: uncultured bacterium
Lineage: Bacteria
Description: bacterial SSU rRNA
Rfam family: Bacterial small subunit ribosomal RNA
Source: RNAcentral
AUUGAACGCUGGCGGCAUGCCUUACACAUGCAAGUCGAACGGCAGCACGGGGGCAACCCUGGUGGCGAGUGGCGAACGGGUGAGUAACAUAUCGGAACAUACCCUAGAGUGGGGGAUAACGUAGCGAAAGUUACGCUAAUACCGCAUACGAUCUAAGGAUGAAAGUGGGGGAUCUUCGGACCUCAUGCUCAUGGAGUGGCCGAUAUCUGAUUAGCUAGUUGGUGAGGUAAAGGCUCACCAAGGCGACGAUCAGUAGCUGGUUUGAGAGAACGACCAGCCACACUGGAACUGAGACACGGUCCAGACUCCUACGGGAGGCAGCAGUGGGGAAUUUUGGGACAAUGGGGGGCAACCCCUGGAUCCAGCAAUGCCGCGUGAGCGAAGAAGCCCUUUGGGGGUGUUAAAGGCU